CAGCCGCCGCGGUAAUACGUAGGUGGCAAGCGUUGUCCGGAAUUAUUGGGCGUAAAGGGCUCGCAGGCGGUUUCUUAAGUCUGAUGUGAAAGCCCCCGGCUCAACCGGGGAGGGUCAUUGGAAACUGGGAAACUUGAGUGCAGAAGAGGAGAGUGGAAUUCCACGUGUAGCGGUGAAAUGCGUAGAGAUGUGGAGGAACACCAGAGGCGAAGGCGACUCUCUGGUCUGUAACUGACGCUGAGGAGCGAAAGCGUGGGGAGCGAACAGGAUUAGAGACCCCAGUAGUCCCUGUCUCUUAUCA
This 301-nucleotide ribosomal RNA is filed under the name uncultured bacterium. Its description in RNAcentral is "partial 16S ribosomal RNA". It matches the Rfam family "Bacterial small subunit ribosomal RNA", at positions 509 to 809 of the family's 1533-position model. The record is from RNAcentral.